CGUGUAGGCGGUUCACCAAGUUGGGUGUGAAAGCCCUCGGCUUAACCGAGGAAGUGCGCCCAAAACUAGUGAACUCGAGUACCGGAGAGGGUGGCGGAAUUCCCGGUGUAGAGGUGAAAUUCGUAGAUAUCGGGAGGAACACCAGCGGCGAAGGCGGCCACCUGGACGGAUACUGACGCUGAGACGCGAAAGCGUGGGGAGCAAACAG
RNAcentral lists this ribosomal RNA (208 nucleotides) under uncultured delta proteobacterium. RNAcentral describes it as "partial 16S ribosomal RNA". It matches the Rfam family "Bacterial small subunit ribosomal RNA", at positions 568 to 775 of the family's 1533-position model. The record is from RNAcentral. Lineage: Bacteria; Deltaproteobacteria.